UCAAAGGCUCUUUUCAGAGCCACCUACCUUUUUAACAAGGGCUUA
Molecule: non-coding RNA, 45 nt
Organism: Rattus norvegicus (Norway rat)
Lineage: Eukaryota; Metazoa; Chordata; Mammalia; Rodentia; Muridae
Source: Rfam